Molecule: ribosomal RNA, 789 nt
Filed under: uncultured bacterium
Lineage: Bacteria
Description: bacterial SSU rRNA
Rfam family: Bacterial small subunit ribosomal RNA
Source: RNAcentral
UUCCUAGUGUAGCGGUGAAAUGCGUAGAUAUUAGGAGGAACACCAGUGGCGAAGGCGACUUACUGGACUGUAACUGACGCUGAGUCACGAAAGCGUGGGUAGCAAACAGGAUUAGAUACCCUGGUAGUCCACGCUGUAAACGAUGAGUGCUAGGUGUUGGGUAGCGAUAUUCAGUGCCGAAGUAAACACAAUAAGCACUCCGCCUGGGGAGUACGGUCGCAAGACUGAAACUCAAAGGAAUUGACGGGGACCCGCACAAGCAGCGGAGCAUGUGGUUUAAUUCGAAGCAACGCGAAGAACCUUACCAAGGCUUGACAUCCCCUUGACCGGCACAGAGAUGUGCCCUCUCCUUCGGGAGCAAGGGUGACAGGUGGUGCAUGGUUGUCGUCAGCUCGUGUCGUGAGAUGUUGGGUUAAGUCCCGCAACGAGCGCAACCCUUAUCCUUAGUUGCCAGCAGGUAAAGCUUGGGCACUCUAAGGAGACUGCCGAUGAUAAAUCGGAGGAAGGUGGGGAUGACGUCAAAUCAUCAUGCCCCUUAUGUCUUGGGCUACACACGUGCUACAAUGGUCGGUACAAAGGGCAGCGAAGGAGUGAUCUGGAGCGAGAUCCCAAUAAUCCGAUCCCAGUUCGGAUUGUAGGCUGCAGACUCGCCUACAUGAAGUCGGAGUUGCUGGUAAUCGCGAAUCAGAACGUCGCGGUGAAUGCGUUCCCGGGUCUUGUACACNCCGCCCGUCGCNCCAUGGAAGUUGGUAAUACCCAAAGUCGCUGAGCUAUCCGCAAGGGGGCAGG